UAAUACAGAGGUCCCAAGCGUUGUUCGGAUUCACUGGGCGUAAAGGGUGCGUAGGUGGUGAGGUAAGUCUAAUGUGAAAUCUCCGAGCUUAACUCGGAAACUGCAUCGGAUACUAUCUCGCUCGAGGGUUGGAGGGGAGACUGGAAUACUUGGUGUAGCAGUGAAAUGCGUAGAUAUCAAGUGGAACACCAGUGGCGAAGGCGAGUCUCUGGACAACUCCUGACACUGAGGCACGAAAGCUAGGGGAGCAAACAGGAUUAGAUACCCUGGUAGUCCUAGCCGUAAACGGUGCACGUUUGCUGUAAGAGGAAUCGACCCCUCUUGUGGCGAAGCUAACGCGAUAAACGUGCCGCCUGGGAAGUACGGUCGCAAGAUUA
RNAcentral lists this ribosomal RNA (377 nucleotides) under uncultured bacterium. RNAcentral's name for it is "bacterial SSU rRNA". It matches the Rfam family "Bacterial small subunit ribosomal RNA", at positions 521 to 896 of the family's 1533-position model. The record is from RNAcentral.